This 497-nucleotide ribosomal RNA is filed under the name uncultured bacterium. RNAcentral's name for it is "partial 16S ribosomal RNA". It matches the Rfam family "Bacterial small subunit ribosomal RNA", at positions 28 to 507 of the family's 1533-position model. The record is from RNAcentral.
GAUGAACGCUGGCGGCGUGCCUAAUACAUGCAAGUCGAGCGAAGGGACGAGAAGCUUGCUUCUCUGAUGUUAGCGGCGGAUGGGUGAGUAACACGUGGAUAACCUACCUAUAAGACUGGGAUAACUUCGGGAAACCGGAGCUAAUACCGGAUAAUAUUUUGAACCGCAUGGUUCAAAAGUGAAAGACGGUCUUGCUGUCAACUCUCGAUGGAUCAGCGCUGCAUUAGCUAGUUGGUAAGGUAACGGGUUAACAAGGCAACGAUGGAUAGCCGACCGGAGAGGGUGAUCGGCCACACGGGAACUGAAACACGCUCCAGACUACUGCGGGAGGCAGCAGUAGGGAAUCUGCCGCAGUGGGGGAAAACCUGGCGGAGCAGCGCCGAGUGAGUUGUGAAGAUCUUCCGAUCGUAAAACCCUGUUAUGAGGGAAGAACAUAUUUGUAAGGAACUGUGCACAGCUUGACGGUACCUAAUCAGAAAGCCACGGCUAACUACGUG